UGUCAGUACCCAUGUGACGAAAUGCUGUGAACCCCGCCAGGCCCGGAAGGGAGCAACGGUAACAGUUGCUUCGGGUGCAAAGGGAUUGCUGGCGCAG
This 97-nucleotide signal recognition particle RNA is filed under the name Gammaproteobacteria bacterium. RNAcentral's name for it is "signal recognition particle sRNA small type". It matches the Rfam family "Bacterial small signal recognition particle RNA". Rfam says of the family: The signal recognition particle (SRP) is a universally conserved ribonucleoprotein involved in the co-translational targeting of proteins to membranes. Archaeal SRP consists of a 7S RNA and homologues of the eukaryotic SRP19 and SRP54 proteins. In most bacteria, the SRP consists of a 4.5S RNA and the Ffh protein (a homologue of the eukaryotic SRP54 protein). The record is from RNAcentral. Lineage: Bacteria; Pseudomonadati; Pseudomonadota; Gammaproteobacteria.